CGGAAUCGGCAAGACCCUUAGUGCUUCGGGAACCGUGAGACAGGUGCUGCAUGGUCUGUCGUCAGCUCGUGUUGUGAAAUGUUGGGUUAAGUCCCGCAACGAGCGCAACCCUUAUCCUUUNGUUUGCCAGCGGUCCGGCCGGGAACUCAAAGGAGACUGCCAGUGAUAAACUGGAGGAAGGUGGGGAUGACGUCAAGUCAUCAUGGCCCUUACGACCAGGGCUACACACGUGCUACAAUGGCGCAUACAAAGAGAAGCGACCUCGCGAGAGCAAGCGGACCUCAUAAAGUGCGUCGUAUCCGGAUUGGAGUCUGCAACUCGACUCCAUGAAGUCGGAAUCGCUAGUAAUCGUGGAUCAAAUGCCACGGUGAAUACGUUCCCGGG
RNAcentral lists this ribosomal RNA (384 nucleotides) under Pantoea agglomerans. RNAcentral's name for it is "bacterial SSU rRNA". It matches the Rfam family "Bacterial small subunit ribosomal RNA", at positions 1001 to 1378 of the family's 1533-position model. Lineage: Bacteria; Pseudomonadati; Pseudomonadota; Gammaproteobacteria; Enterobacterales; Erwiniaceae. The record is from RNAcentral.